GGAAGGGGGUCCUUCCACCUCUCCCCCUCCCAUACAAAAUUAUAACAUAAAAUAUACAAAAGCCUGACAUUUUAAAGGUUUUUAUUUUUGCCUGCCUGACGGAGGACAUUAGGCUAAAAAGGAGGACAUGUCCUCCUUUUGCCUGACAUCUGGCAACCCUACCUUUGAUGGUGGCUGCAAGAGACCUCAUGGUGGUCAUUACAUGCCCAAUUAUUAUGUGCACAACUAGCUUUGGGAGAGAAGUUAAAUGGAAGGAGGAGUAGUACGAAUUCCUCUCUGAAAGACUGAAUAUACCUCUAGUCAUGAAAUGUGAGCCUGGACAAUGGAGCAGGAGACUGGAAUCUGCAAGUAAACCUUAGGCUGUCCUCGGAAAAGAAAACAUGCUGAUUGUUCAGGUUUCCAAAUCUGGGGUGUGGGCUCUGGCUUGCCUCUUAUGUGUCUCCUUUCAUUUCUGACUAUAACCAGAAACAUCUCCACUCCAUAUGAGAGCAUUUUUCUCUGGGAAGCUAGUUCUUCCCCUUCCAGUUGCUAUGGCAACCAUGAGAAGGUCAAUUAGAGAACGUUGUGUAUCUAGGGAUUAGCUGUCAGAUUUUAGCAUUCUGACCUGAUAGAUAAACAGUUUCCCCUCAUUUUUUACAAGUUCACUGUCCUAGUAACUGACUGCACGCAAUAAGAAAAAAGAAAAAAGCUUUAUGUCAUACAACUUCCUUCAGAAGUGUUUGUAUUAUUCAGAUUACCCUCUCCCAAAUUUCAAAAUGUACAACUAAGCUUUUAUGAGGAGAAAAAAAUCCACACUGUCUGUAUGCCAAUUUAAUACUGAAAGCAAAUAUACAAAGACAGGAAAGGAUGCCUAUCUCUUUUUCGAAGGCGACUCCUCCCUGGACACAUCAGCUGGCUGUCCCUCAGGCCUCACUUCAAAAUGCAGUCGACUUCUGGACUGAAUACAAGCCAACGUCAGUCCCUGACUGAGGUAUUCCAGUGAUGAAAAUAAGAUAGCUCAACCAGGUAUGGAAUACUGGCA
Molecule: long non-coding RNA, 1021 nt
Filed under: Pogona vitticeps (central bearded dragon)
Lineage: Eukaryota; Metazoa; Chordata; Lepidosauria; Squamata; Agamidae
Description: lncRNA (ENSPVIG00000017023.1)
Source: RNAcentral